UAUGCCAUGGUGGACUCAAAGAGGUUAAGGUGUUCAAUUGGGUCCUUCAUUCCAGUAUAGAGUUGUAAACCAAGCUUUUGUUUUGUCUUCGCUUGAAGGGGGGUGUCGAAGAUCCUUCUUGUGAGAGGGCCAGGCCUGGGUUGGUUCCAGUCAGGUAUCUCGGCCUGAUGUUCGGCCUUCAACUUGUUUACUUCCUCAAAGAGCUGUAAGACAAGGGGGUCCUGAGUGGAGUCAUGUACCAUUGGAAUUUUCUUUCAUAAGUCUCCAUCACCUCUUGGAAGUAGGAAAGUUUGAGCAAGGGCGUGUGGUUUUUUCUUGGACUCGCCGUACUGACUUCUAGGGUGAGUCUGUCGGAAUACCUCAGAGUCCCCC
Molecule: long non-coding RNA, 372 nt
Filed under: Malus domestica (apple)
Lineage: Eukaryota; Viridiplantae; Streptophyta; Magnoliopsida; Rosales; Rosaceae
Description: long non-coding RNA (MDOM_LNC015380)
Source: RNAcentral